GCUUGCUUCCACGACACACGUACUAAAAUUGGGACGAUACAGAGGAUGAGCAUGGUCCCUGUGCAAGGAUGACACUCAAAUGCAUGAAGCAUUCCAUAUUUAA
Acinonyx jubatus (cheetah) is the source of this 103-nucleotide small nuclear RNA. Lineage: Eukaryota; Metazoa; Chordata; Mammalia; Carnivora; Felidae. The record is from RefSeq and is a predicted model, not a curated record.